This 716-nucleotide ribosomal RNA is filed under the name Bacillus mycoides. RNAcentral describes it as "bacterial SSU rRNA". It matches the Rfam family "Bacterial small subunit ribosomal RNA", at positions 61 to 757 of the family's 1533-position model. Lineage: Bacteria; Bacillati; Bacillota; Bacilli; Caryophanales; Bacillaceae. The record is from RNAcentral.
GUCGAGCGAACCGAUUAAGAGCUUGCUCUUAAGAAGUUAGCGGCGGACGGGUGAGUAACACGUGGGUAACCUGCCUAUAAGACUGGGAUAACUCCGGGAAACCGGGGCUAAUACCGGAUAACAUUUUGCACCGCAUGGUGCGAAAUUGAAAGGCGGCUUCGGCUGUCACUUAUAGAUGGACCUGCGUCGCAUUAGCUAGUUGGUGAGGUAACGGCUCACCAAGGCGACGAUGCGUAGCCGACCUGAGAGGGUGAUCGGCCACACUGGGACUGAGACACGGCCCAGACUCCUACGGGAGGCAGCAGUAGGGAAUCUUCCGCAAUGGACGAAAGUCUGACGGAGCAACGCCGCGUGAGCGAUGAAGGCCUUCGGGUCGUAAAGCUCUGUUGUUAGGGAAGAACAAGUGCUAGUUGAAUAAGCUGGCACCUUGACGGUACCUAACCAGAAAGCCACGGCUAACUACGUGCCAGCAGCCGCGGUAAUACGUAGGUGGCAAGCGUUAUCCGGAAUUAUUGGGCGUAAAGCGCGCGCAGGUGGUUUCUUAAGUCUGAUGUGAAAGCCCACGGCUCAACCGUGGAGGGUCAUUGGAAACUGGGAGACUUGAGUGCAGAAGAGGAAAGUGGAAUUCCAUGUGUAGCGGUGAAAUGCGUAGAGAUAUGGAGGAACACCAGUGGCGAAGGCGACUUUCUGGUCUGUAACUGACACUGAGGCGCGAA